CGCAGCUGUAGGCGGCAGCCCGGCCCGCGGACGGACGUAACCAGAGAGACAGGCAGCAGCGGGCCACAGGCACUGGCACUUCCUCCCACGUGCACCCGGCGACAGGAAGUGAGGCUUCAUCUAGCGGGCAUGACGGAUCACUGACUGCAUUUCCAGACCUUAUCUCCUCCCCUGAAAUCAGAGGGUGGGACUGAAAGUUCCAAUCCUCUAAUCAAGGUCUCACUCUUUCUAAGCACCCCCUCCAGAAUGAUUCAUCUCUACCCAAAACAGAUGCAGUGAAGACAGCAUGAUGGAGCCAGAGGUUCCCACAAGGGAAAUGCACAGCUUGGAAUUACUAUCCAGAGAAAUCAAUGAGCCACCAAGAAAUAAAAUAAGAACUGAGAGAAGACCCACGAAGAAGCCAAUAUACCAAGUAGUGAGCACGCUGGGUGUUUAUGUGCGAGCAGAAAUGAAAAUGUUAUAUGUGGAAGCUCUUACUCACCUGGACUAGUUUAGAAUAGUGGUCACCACAAAUUAGCAACGGCUCUCAUUGAAACCUACAACCUGUGAAGGAGGUGGACCAGGAGAGGAGCAAAGAGUGGCCCAGGUAAUAAGCACAGCAGGACUUCUAGUCACCAUCUUCUUCUCCAGUGAAAUGCCUUUUGAGAAUUCUUCAUGUCUAUGAAAACCAGGAGCCUUGGUGGCUCCUGGAGUUAAAAAAACCAUUAUAGGAGAAAUUUUGGGGGCACAAAUAGUGAAAUUAGAAUAGGGACUAUAUAUUGGAGGGCAUUACAGAAUUAAUGCUAGUUGUCUUAAAUAUGAUAAUAGUACUGUGAUUAGGUAGGAUAUGGCCUUAUUGUUCAGAGAUGCAGGCUGGAGGAUGAGAUCAUCAGGGAAGAAGAGGGGACCACAGGGGAAGGGAGAAUGGAGGUAAUGAGAAGCCCCAGGUGGGCUGCUCACGACCUCACUCAGCCAGACAGGAAACAUGCGGUUUGGAGUAUCUAUCGCUGCACAAAUCCACCAGCCCCAAACAUAGAGGCUUAAAACAAUUGCUUAUUUGCUCCCAACGUGGACUUCGGGCAGGCAGCUCAUCUUGGCUUCACGCAGACUCACCAGCUCUGGUGCUCACAAGGCUGGAGGCUGAACAGAACAACUUGCUGUUGGCUGGGUUCCUCAGUUCUCGUCCACGUGUCCUGCCCACAAGGCCAGCGUGGGCUCCCUCACAGCUCAGUGUGGGCUCAGAGCAGCCAGACUUCUGACACGGGCCCUGGCUUCCCUCAAAGUGCCAAAGUGGAAGCUGCCAGACCUUCCUAGGCUUGAGGCCUGGAACUGGCACCGUGUGGAUUCCGCCUCAGGUCACAGGGCCAGGCCAGAUUCAAAAGACUUAACUACCAGGGGGAGAGGGUCACUGGGGGCCACUAGAUGGACAGUUCACCACACACAGGGAUGUGGGGCUGUGGCCAGUGGCAAUUCCCUACAGGCCAGCCAGCAACCACAGGAACAGGGCACGUGAGAGAUGGCUGUGUUUCAAACACCUUUGGCUCCUUGAUUACACCAGGGCUGUUGAAGCGCAGAGAUCAAACUGCUCCAUGAAAAAAAGGGUAAACAAGGGUUUCCUCAUGCAGCACCUCCCCAAGAAUUUCAGAAGCUCAUCUGCGUGGGAGGUUUAACAUAAAAUGUUUCCUGAACCUAUCUGACCAUGGUGCACACUUAAAAAAAAAAAAAAAGACUAUCAUUUGGUACAUUAGGACUGUAAUGACUCCAAUUUAGUUGUUUUUUUCUUUUAAUUUAAUAACACUUUAAAAAAUUGUGGUAAAAUACACAUAACAGAAAAUGUACCAUCUUCAC
Long non-coding RNA from Aethalodelphis obliquidens (Pacific white-sided dolphin), 1827 nucleotides. RefSeq lists it as uncharacterized. NCBI's taxonomy places the organism in Eukaryota, Metazoa, Chordata, Mammalia, Artiodactyla, Delphinidae. The record is from RefSeq and is a predicted model, not a curated record. The transcript has 3 exons.